UAUAUAUAUAUAUAUAUAUAUAUAUAUAUAUAUGUAUACUUGAGUAGUAUUAGUUAUGUGCUUGAAAUUUAAAGAAUUUGGCGGUAUUUUAGUCUUUUCAGAGGAACCUGUUCUGUAAUUGAUAUUCCACGAUUAAUUAUACUUAUAUUAAAGGUUUAUAUAUCGUCGUCAGUUGAAUGUUUUAGAAGAAUAUUAAAUGUUCAAGAUUUUUAAUAAUAAAGUAAAUCAGAUCAAGGUGUAGCUUAUGUAUGAGUAGAGAUGGGUUACAAUAAAUAUAUUUAAAUGGUUAAAAUAACUAACAUUGUUUUAUAAAUUGGAUUUGAACGUAAUAUAAUUAAGUUAAAUUAUAUGAUUUUAGCUCUAGAAUAUGUACAAUUCGCCCGUCGCUCCCCCAUUUUAAGAUGGGAUAAGUCGUAACAAGUAGGUGUACUGGAAGUGUACCUAGAUAGCAAUUGAGCCUGUUAUAAAGUAUUUUAUUUACCUUAAAGGUUAGGUUGUGUGAAUCAUUAGUUGAUAGGGAAUUUCUUAUUGAUUUUGAUUAUAAUAAGGUAUUAUUUUUAUUAAGUAUUUUAUUUAGAAAUAGUUUGUUUUAAUUAUAGGUUAUUAGUAUAGUGAUAGAUUUUUGAAAUAUUGUAAAUUUUAUUUUAUUAAAAGAAUAGUUAUUUUUUAGUACCUUGUGUAUCAGGGUUUAUUAAAAUUGUUUUAUUUAUUUAAUUUUCUCGAAUUUUUAAGAGUUAAUAAUUUGUAUAUUUAAUUGUAAUAUAAAUUUUUAUAAUAAAUUAUUAGUAAUGAAAUGUUAUACGUUUAAAAAUAUAUCUAGUUAUUUAAGAAAUAAAUUUAAUUUAUUUAUUUUAAUAUAUAUUUUUAAUUUUUUAAGAAUAUGUUUUUAAUAUUAAAUAUUUUAAGGGAUAAGCUUUAAAAUAGAAUAUUAUAAAUUAUUAUUGUAUAGAAAAAAUAUAGAAUUAGUAAUUUUAAUUUUUUAGUUUGUUAUAAUUAAUUUUUUUUUUAUAUGAUUUAUAUUAGUUUUAAUUUUUAUAUUAAAAUAUUUUAUAUAAUUUAAUUAUAUAUGUAAUAAUGAUAAAAUUAGUAUAUAUUAUUAUAUUUUUAAGGUAAAAAUAAUAGGUUAGGUUAAGGAAUUCAGCAAAUUAGUUUUUCGCCUGUUUAUUAAAAACAUGUCUUUUUGAUUAUAAUUUAAAGUCUAAUCUGCCCACUGAGUAGUUGAAUGGCCGCGGUAUUUUGACCGUGCAAAGGUAGCAUAAUAAUUAGUUUUUUAAUUGAAAGCUGGAAUGAAGGAUUGGACGAGAAAAUGACUGUCUUAGUUUAAAUUAGUUAGAAUUUUAUUUUUAAGUUAAAAAGCUUAAAUUUUUUUAAAAGACGAGAAGACCCUAUAGAGUUUUAUAUUAAUUUUAAUUAUUAUUAUUUAGUUUGUUUGUUUAGCAAUUAUUAUUAUUAUUUUAUUGGGGUGAUAGGAAAAUUAAUAGAACUUUUUUUAUAUAAAUUCAUUAAUAUAUGUUUAAUUGAUCCAUUUUUUAUGAUUAUAAGAUUAAAUUACCUUAGGGAUAACAGCGUAAUUAUUUUUGAGAGUUCUUAUCGAAAUAAUAGUUUGCGACCUCGAUGUUGGAUUAAAAUUAACUUUUGGUGUAGGGGCUAAAAGGUUAGGUCUGUUCGACCUUUAAAAUUUUACAUGAUCUGAGUUCAAACCGGAGA
Molecule: ribosomal RNA, 1707 nt
Filed under: Colobostoma sp. NLG-2014
Lineage: Eukaryota; Metazoa; Arthropoda; Insecta; Coleoptera; Scarabaeidae
Description: partial 16S ribosomal RNA
Source: RNAcentral